UGAACCAGGUUCAGGAUGAAAGACGGUUUCGGCUGUCACUUACAGAUGGACCCGCGGCGCAUAGCUAGUUGGUGGGGUAAUGGCUCACCAAGGCGACGAUGCGUAGCCGACCUGAGAGGGUGAUCGGCCACACUGGGACUGAGACACGGCCCAGACUCCUACGGGAGGCAGCAGUAGGGAAUCUUCCGCAAUGGACGAAAGUCUGACGGAGCAACGCCGCGUGAGUGAUGAAGGUUUUCGGAUCGUAAAGCUCUGUUGUUAGGGAAGAACAAGUGCGAGAGUAACUGCUCGCACCUUGACGGUACCUAACCAGAAAGCCACGGCUAACUACGUGCCAGCAGCCGCGGUAAUACGUAGGUGGCAAGCGUUGUCCGGAAUUAUUGGGCGUAAAGGGCUCGCAGGCGGUUUCUUAAGUCUGAUGUGAAAGCCCCCGGCUCAACCGGGGAGGGUCAUUGGAAACUGGGAAACUUGAGUGCAGAAGAGGAGAGUGGAAUUCCACGUGUAGCGGUGAAAUGCGUAGAGAUGUGGAGGAACACCAGUGGCGAAGGCGACUCUCUGGUCUGUAACUGACGCUGAGGAGCGAAAGCGUGGGGAGCGAACAGGAUUAGAUACCCUGGUAGUCCACGCCGUAAACGAUGAGUGCUAAGUGUUAGGGGGUUUCCGCCCCUUAGUGCUGCAGCUAACGCAUUAAGCACUCCGCCUGGGGAGUACGGUCGCAAGACUGAAACUCAAAGGAAUUGACGGGGGCCCGCACNAGCGGUGGAGCAUGUGGUUUAAUUCGAAGCAACGCGAAGAACCUUACCAGGUCUUGACAUCCUCUGACAACCCUAGAGAUAGGGCUUUCCCUUCGGGGACAGAGUGACAGGUGGUGCAUGGUUGUCGUCAGCUCGUGUCGUGAGAUGUUGGGUUAAGUCCCGCAACGAGCGCAACCCUUGAUCUUAGUUGCCAGCAUUCAGUUGGGCACUCUAAGGUGACUGCCGGUGACAAACCGGAGGAAGGUGGGGAUGACGUCAAAUCAUCAUGCCCCUUAUGACCUGGGCUACACACGUGCUACAAUGGACAGAACAAAGGGCUGCAAGACCGCAAGGUUUAGCCAAUCCCAUAAAUCUGUUCUCAGUUCGGAUCGCAGUCUGCAACUGACUGCGUGAAGCGGAAUCGCUGUAGGGAUCAGCAGCGGG
RNAcentral lists this ribosomal RNA (1178 nucleotides) under Bacillus sp. (in: firmicutes). Its description in RNAcentral is "bacterial SSU rRNA". It matches the Rfam family "Bacterial small subunit ribosomal RNA", at positions 182 to 1356 of the family's 1533-position model. Lineage: Bacteria; Bacillati; Bacillota; Bacilli; Caryophanales; Bacillaceae. The record is from RNAcentral.